RNAcentral lists this ribosomal RNA (253 nucleotides) under uncultured bacterium. Its description in RNAcentral is "partial 16S ribosomal RNA". It matches the Rfam family "Bacterial small subunit ribosomal RNA", at positions 524 to 776 of the family's 1533-position model. The record is from RNAcentral.
GACGUAGGAGGCGAGCGUUGUCCGGAUCCAUUGGGCGUAAAGAGCACGCAGGCGGUUUGGCAAGUCGGAUGUGAAAACCCGGAGCUCAACUCCGGACCUGCAUCCGAAACUGCCCGACUAGAGGUAGGUAGGGGAGAUCGGAAUUCCUGGUGUAGCGGUGAAAUGCGCAGAUAUCAGGAGGAACACCGAUGGCGAAGGCAGAUCUCUGGGCCGUAACUGACGCUGAGGAGCGAAAGCAUGGGGAGCGAACAGG